ACACAUGCAAGUCGAGGGGCAGCAUCAUUAAAGCUUGCUUUGAUGGAUGGCGACCGGCGCACGGGUGAGUAACACGUAUCCAACCUGCCGACAACACUGGGAUAGCCUUUCGAAAGAAAGAUUAAUACCGGAUGGCAUAGUUUUCCCGCAUGGGAUAAUUAUUAAAGAAUUUCGGUUGUCGAUGGGGAUGCGUUCCAUUAGGCAGUUGGCGGGGUAACGGCCCACCAAACCAACGAUGGAUAGGGGUUCUGAGAGGAAGGUCCCCCACAUUGGAACUGAGACACGGUCCAAACUCCUACGGGAGGCAGCAGUGAGGAAUAUUGGUCAAUGGACGAGAGUCUGAACCAGCCAAGUAGCGUGAAGGAUGACUGCCCUAUGGGUUGUAAACUUCUUUUAUACGGGAAUAAAGUGAGCCACGUAUGGCUUUUUGUAUGUACCGUAUGAAUAAGGAUCGGCUAACUCCGUGCCAGCAGCCGCGGUAAUACGGAGGAUCCGAGCGUUAUCCGGAUUUAUUGGGUUUAAAGGGAGCGUAGGCGGGUUGUUAAGUCAGUUGUGAAAGUUUGCGGCUCAACCGUAAAAUUGCAGUUGAUACUGGCGACCUUGAGUGCAACAGAGGUAGGCGGAAUUCGUGGUGUAGCGGUGAAAUGCUUAGAUAUCACGAAGAACUCCGAUUGCGAAGGCAGCUUACUGGAUUGUAACUGACGCUGAUGCUCGAAAGUGUGGGUAUCAAACAGGAUUAGAUACCCUGGUAGUCCACACAGUAAACGAUGAAUACUCGCUGUUGGCGAUAUACGGUCAGCGGCCAAGCGAAAGCAUUAAGUAUUCCACCUGGGGAGUACGCCGGCAACGGUGAAACUCAA
Molecule: ribosomal RNA, 860 nt
Filed under: uncultured bacterium
Lineage: Bacteria
Description: bacterial SSU rRNA
Rfam family: Bacterial small subunit ribosomal RNA
Source: RNAcentral